RNAcentral lists this non-coding RNA (30 nucleotides) under Mus musculus (house mouse). The record is from RNAcentral. Lineage: Eukaryota; Metazoa; Chordata; Mammalia; Rodentia; Muridae.
UGCUUCGAGAUAUUCCUGAAGUUCCAGAGU